GGUGAAGACGACCAGACCUUACCCUCUCCCAGGUUUGGCGGUCAUUGCCUCUUCCCCCAUUUCAUUUCACGAGCGGAUGAGAUGAGAGCGCGAGAAAGAAUGCCGACCGACUCCGGACCAAUGCAUGGUUGAUGCAUCCCUCUUCCUGUAACGCAAAUCUCUCCCCCACCCCUUUUUUUAGCUCACAGUAAAGUGCAUUUAUUCAGCUAAUCUGAAUACGUGCAAAUCUCCCAUGGCAAUAGGUUUAAUUUAUUUUUCGCCUAUGGCGUUUUCUUUAUCCUCUUGUAGAAUUUGUUCUUCUUAUAGUAUAUGGAUAUGAUGACAUUUUAUAGAAUUUUUUGUGAUGGUCAUUUUUAUAAAAAAAUUUAUAGAAUUUGUAUGAUGACAUUUUUACAGAAUUUUGAUUGUAGCCACACAACUAUUUUUUUCUCUCUUAAUUGAUAUGUUGUGAUGGAAGAGAACAAGUAAUCUUCCAUGGCAAUAAGUUUAUAUUUCUGCCAUGGCAUUUUUAUCCCCAAGUCAUUUUUGUAGAAUUGUUUGUCUUUUUGUAGUAUAAGUGAUAUGUUUCUUAUAGGACGAUGUCAUUUUCACUAUAAUUCUUGGUUGUGGCCGAAUGGCUUCAUUUUUUGUAAGUGAUAUGUUG
Molecule: long non-coding RNA, 643 nt
Filed under: Hordeum vulgare
Lineage: Eukaryota; Viridiplantae; Streptophyta; Magnoliopsida; Poales; Poaceae
Description: long non-coding RNA (HVUL_LNC014050)
Source: RNAcentral